This 301-nucleotide ribosomal RNA is filed under the name uncultured bacterium. RNAcentral describes it as "partial 16S ribosomal RNA". It matches the Rfam family "Bacterial small subunit ribosomal RNA", at positions 509 to 809 of the family's 1533-position model. The record is from RNAcentral.
CAGCCGCCGCGGUAAUACGUAGGUGGCAAGCGUUGUCCGGAAUUAUUGGGCGUAAAGGGCUCGCAGGCGGUUUCUUAAGUCUGAUGUGAAAGCCCCCGGCUCAACCGGGGAGGGUCAUUGGAAACUGGGAAACUUGAGUGCAGAAGAGGAGAGUGGAAUUCCACGUGUAGCGGUGAAAUGCGUAGAGAUGUGGAGGAACACCAGUGGCGAAGGCGACUCUUUGGUCUGUAACUGACGCUGAGGAGCGAAAGCGUGGGGAGCGAACAGGAUUAGAGACCCCUGUAGUCCCUGUCUCUUAUAA